UUCAUGGAAACGUGGACUAAUACCGUAUGUGCCCCUUCGGGGGGAAAGCGUUAUGUAGCGCCUUUGGAUGAGCCCGCGCUGGAUUAGGUAGUUGGUGGGGUAAUGGCCUACCAAGCCUACGAUCUAUAGCUGGUCUGAGAGGAUGAUCAGCCACACUGGAACUGAGACACGGUCCAGACUCCUACGGGAGGCAGCAGUGGGGAAUCUUGCACAAUGGGCGCAAGCCUGAUGCAGCCAUGCCGCGUGAGUGAAGAAGGCCCUAGGGUUGUAAAACUCUUUCGCCGGUGAAGAUAAUGACGGUAACCGGUAAAGAAGCCCCGGCCAACUCCGUGCCAGCAGCCGCGGUAAUACGGAGGGGGCUAGCAUUGUUCGGAAUUACUGGGCGUAAAGCGCGCGUAGGCGGAUUAACAAGUUGGGGGUGAAAGCCCGGAGCUCAACUCCGGAACUGCCUCCAAAACUGUUUCUCUAGAGUCCGGAAGAGGUGAGUGGAAUUCCUAGUGUAGAGGUGGAAUUCGUAGAUAUUAGGAAGAACACCAGUGGCGAAGGCGGCUCACUGGUCCGGUACUGACGCUGAGGUGCGAAAGUGUGGGGAGCAAACAGGAUUAGAUACCCUGGUAGUCCACACCGUAAACGAUGGAUGCUAUUUGUCGGGCGGCUUGCCGUUCGGUGACGCAGCUAACGCGUUAAGCAUCCCGCCUGGG
RNAcentral lists this ribosomal RNA (701 nucleotides) under uncultured bacterium. RNAcentral describes it as "bacterial SSU rRNA". It matches the Rfam family "Bacterial small subunit ribosomal RNA", at positions 147 to 877 of the family's 1533-position model. The record is from RNAcentral.